This is a long non-coding RNA of Thamnophis elegans (Western terrestrial garter snake), 2807 nucleotides long. RefSeq lists it as uncharacterized. The transcript has 4 exons. NCBI's taxonomy places the organism in Eukaryota, Metazoa, Chordata, Lepidosauria, Squamata, Natricidae. The record is from RefSeq and is a predicted model, not a curated record.
CCCUCCAUAUCCUUCCUUCCCCGCAUCUUCCUCGGCGGAGACCCACGGGGAUAGGAAAUUCGGGGAUGUCAUUGGAGGCCCCUCUAAGUUUUUAUUCUUCCUUCAGCUGAGCUCAUGCCUCAAUUUUGUCCACAGAGUACCAACUUGCUCUGCAAAAUAAGGGAUUGCUAAAGCAACAGAUUAAAACCUAGGAUGUGGAAGAAAAUAUUUUACUGGAUCAAGCUGGGAUGUUUCGGAUCAACUGUAUAUAAGGAUGAGUUUUCCCACCUUGAGCAGAAAGCCAGCUGGGAAGCCAGGGGUGAGUCUUUGAGCUUUAGGAAGGAAGCAGUGGCAAACCUCUCCUGAAAAACCUUGCCAAGUAAACAGCAGGGACUUGUCCAGAUGGACGUAGCCAGAAUUUGCAUAUCCCCAUGGAUUGGUUCGCCAAGCCGUGAGAUAUUUAAACUGCUAUCAUUGGUUGACAGGCUUGCCAGAGCUGAAUAAAUGGAGAGCUCUGGCAGUAUGCUGGCAGAUCUAUUGUGGCAAACAGGGAAAUAAAGUGCUGAAUGUUUUUCGAGCCUGCAGUCCUUUAUCCAUGGUCACCUAACACUGACAAUGAAGGACAAAGGAAUUUCACCAUCCACUUUGUGGCAUCCGUGGCCAUCUUAUCGCAAGGACACCCUGCAUCAACCAGGAUCAGGAUGGCAUAACACACAUCCCUCGCACCGGCAAUUUUCGAUCCACACAUACAUGGGGAGAUUUGGAUGUUCCUGAAAGCAAACAAUUUCCAGGACUUUCCAGACAGUCACAAGCGCACCCUAUUCCUCACCUACUGUGGCAUGAAGACCUACAAGAUGGCACAGAUGCUCAUCACCCCUGCUAAAGUGGAAUCCAUCUCUAGGACAACCCUGAAAAAUGCCUUGGAAGACCACUAUGCCCCGCCUGCCACUUCCAUGGUAAAUCGAAAUUAAUGCUAUCACCCGCACCAAUGGGACGGGGAGGCAGUCAACGAUUUUGUGGCCAUUUUCAAAGAAAUCACCACAAAAUGUGAAUUCAUUAAUCUGGAAGAGAUGAUGAGGGACCAAAUUAUCCUUGGAAUGAGGAAUCUAUCCUACAAAAGAAGUUCUUGGUCCGGAGGGGUCACAUUCAAGGAUGUGGUAGAGGAGGUGAGAGCUGCAAAGUCCUCAAACAAUUCUGCGGUGGAUAUCAGGAAGGCAAGUGGGGUCCAUCUCACUAAAGGGAACCUGACUGGGCCACGGAUGUUUCGGAGAACGAGGGAGAGUGGGAAGAUAAGGACACAAUCCACUGCAUCUACCCGAGCGGCAAGCAAACCCCAGAGACUAUGAAACUAAGCAGCCACACUGUUCAGGCUGCAUGGGGCUUCACACCAGAUCAGCCUGCCAUUUUAAAGAGGCCAUCUGCCAACAGUGCCAAUGAAAGGGCCACAUUGCCAAAGCCUGCAAAGCCAAACAGCCCACACUAUUCCAGCCCAAACCACAGGGAACCAAGUAGACCAGCACACCCAAGACCUGACCAGCAAAAGUACAAGCACCAAGAUGACCAAUACCCUGUGUCCAGAGACAUUAACCACACUACUGUGGACCACUCAGACACAUACGAGGGAGAAAUACCACACUACUGUGACAAUCGAGGGAAGCCAUGCCAGAUGGAGCUGGACACAGGGCCAUUCUUUACCAUCAUCUCCUGGCCGACCCUCAAGCGCCUAAACCCAUCCACCACUAAAAAGCUGCUCAAGCCACAAAAUGUCUGCCUGAAGAAUUUUCAAGGAAAUAGCAUCCAGAUGCUGGCAGACUGGAAGUAAGGGUGAGCUUCAAGGAAUUCCUGGCCAGCUACCCCUCAUUGUCGUAGCGAACGACCGGCCAUCCUUGUUGGGCAUAGAGUGUUUUAAAAUUCUAGGACUUGGCAUCACGGGACUCAACCAUAUCUCCAGAACCGAACUGGACCAGCUGCUGAUGUAAUUCAGGAACAUGUUCGACGGGGGCCUAGGUAAAUAUACGGGAAGCCCAUCACAUUCAUCUAGACCCCAGUGUAACCCCCAUCAGGCUCAAACCCCAAAGGGUCACUUUUGCUCUACAGCCCAGGGUAGAUGAGCAACUGGAGAAACUCAUUGCUCAAAGAAUCCUGGUGCCAAUUAACCAUGCCACCUGGGAGACCCCGAUAGUCACCCCAGUAAAGGCGAAUUGCUCUGUCUGCCUCUGCGCUGAUUACAAAUGCAUACUAAACAAAGCCCUCCAGCAGAGUGCAUAUCCAGUGCCAGUGGCGCAGCAUCUGCUCCAUUCCCUGGGAAGCGGGAAAGUAUUUGCCAACUAGACCUAGCCCAGGCAUACCAACAGUUACCAAUAGACAAUGCCACUGCAGAGACUCAGUCGAUAGCCACACACAGAGGGGCAUUCAAAUGCACGAGACUACAAUUGGGGUCUUUUCCACAAAACAAUGUCACUUAGACCCAGAGGUCAUGCCUUCUAUGAGGCAAUAUUUGUCCUACGCAUCAUUUCCUCCAAGGCUAAAAUAAUCAGCAUCCUUCUGACCUUCCAUAAGUGCCUUAAAGACCAGGCUCUUCCCCAAAAUAAGACACUUGAAGUUUGUGUUGCUGGCAUGGCUAUUAUUGCUGAUUUCUGUUAUUCAGUUGCUCUCUUUUAUUUACUUUAUUAUUUGAUAGUUUAUGUACUUGUUUUUCAAUUAAAAGUCUCUUAAAAUUGCUCCUACAAGUUGGGCAGCCUUUUAAAUCUAAUUAGUAGUAUAACAAUGUGACUACAUUACUAUUAUGUAAACAAUUAUAUAGUUUUUAAAAAAGAAACCUUAUCUAU